AAGACCUUGCGCUUUUGGAGCGGCCGAUGCCUGAUUAGCUUGUUGGUAAGGUAAAAGCUUACCAAGGCUUCGAUCAGUAGCUGGUCUGAGAGGACGACCAGCCACACUGGGACUGAGACACGGCCCAGACUCCUACGGGAGGCAGCAGUGGGGAAUUUUGGACAAUGGGGGCAACCCUGAUCCAGCCAUGCCGCGUGAGUGAAGAAGGCCUUCGGGUUGUAAAGCUCUUUCAGCCGGAACGAAACGGUUACGGUUAAUACCCGUGACUACUGACGGUACCGGAAGGAGAAGCACCGGCUAACUACGUGCCAGCAGCCGCGGUAAUACGUAGGGUGCGAGCGUUAAUCGGAAUUACUGGGCGUAAAGCGUGCGCAGGUGGUUUUGUAAGUCAGAUGUGAAAGCCCCGGGCUCAACCUGGGAACU
This 423-nucleotide ribosomal RNA is filed under the name uncultured bacterium. Its description in RNAcentral is "bacterial SSU rRNA". It matches the Rfam family "Bacterial small subunit ribosomal RNA", at positions 207 to 622 of the family's 1533-position model. The record is from RNAcentral.